RNAcentral lists this long non-coding RNA (393 nucleotides) under Bos taurus (domestic cattle). RNAcentral describes it as "long non-coding RNA NONBTAT027004". The record is from RNAcentral. Lineage: Eukaryota; Metazoa; Chordata; Mammalia; Artiodactyla; Bovidae.
AGUUAUCUUAACAUCGGAGACAUUGAUAUACUUAUCAACUUUUUUUUUCUAACUUACUGUUCACGGAUGAUUUCCCAAACAACAAAAGACUGAUCACAUGCUAUGUAGAAUAUUUUUGCAAAACAAAAAGAUUAUGUUCAAAAAGUUUUAUUUUCAGAAGUCGUAUGUAUGUAAACUGGGAUUUUGAGUGCUUUAUAAACACUUAUAUUGGCAAUUUAGAUUUACCCUGUGUUACUUAGUUUUCUAUUAUCACUUCUAGUAAGAUGAAAUUAAGGGCAGGACCUAGACCUACAUAGAAAUCAUGAAAGAAGUCCUUGUAGCUUUUAACACUUUUAAGGAAACAGCUUUGAAAAAUUUGGCUUUGUGAUCGUCGUCAUCACAAAGUAAUGACGU